AAGUAGUCUCAAAUACAAAAACUAAUUUAGUUUGGCGGCAUUUUAUCUAAUUAGAGGAAUCCGUCUCUUAAUCGAUAAUCCACGCUAAAUUUCACUUCAAUUUAAAACCUAUAUAUCGCCAUCUCAAGAAUUAAUUAAAAAAUAUUCCUCCUAAAAAUAAAUAAAAAGUUAGGUCAAGGUGUAAUUCAUAUUGAAGUAUACGAUGAAUUACAUUAAAUACAAUUUAAAGAUCAUUAAUAAAUAUAUUUAUACAAAUAAGAAUUUAAUAGUAAUAUUUAAAUAAUAAUACAAUAUGAUAUAGAUAAUAAAUGUGC
RNAcentral lists this ribosomal RNA (314 nucleotides) under Draconarius sp. CG82. Its description in RNAcentral is "partial 12S ribosomal RNA". The record is from RNAcentral. Lineage: Eukaryota; Metazoa; Arthropoda; Arachnida; Araneae; Agelenidae.